AAAGCUUAUUAGCAUUCCCUGCCUGCCCAUGGACCUGCACUGACAACUAACAGAGAUAUCCAGCUCACCACUAGGCCUCCUCUCCUUUUGUCUUCAGAUCUCUCGCAGAAACAGAUUUAGACGUGGGCUCUGUACCUUCCAUUCGGUUCAUUGGGAUGCAGCGUGUAAAAAACAAGGGACCUGUUUUUUCCCUGAGCUGUACAAACUUCUUUCCAUGCCACAUAAUGAACGUGCGAUGUGUGUGCAUGUUUGGCAUCUGCACCACUUGUGGGAAGCGUCUUUAAAGCGUUCGCCUACUUUUCCUUAGUGACAUGUAGCAAGGAGCCUUGCUGUGGUUUACACAUAUGUAUAUGUUCUUACUGCUGUUCCUUAAGAUCAAAUAAGGGCUGAUAUUUUUUGCUGCGGGAUAAAACAUACUGAUUGUUUUAAAAAAAGCAGAAGCGAUACACCAGUGUUUACUUUUUGUCAUUUUUUGUCCUGGUUAUUUUUCGAUUAAAAUAUUUCGUGAAACAAUGCUACGCAAAUAGCCAGAGAGAGGGAGUUCUGACUUAAAGCCAAAACCCAGAAGGAUUUUUAAACUUCCAGAUCUGGGCUAAAAAAAAUCCAUUUGUAACCACGUUCUCGGGGAUAAAGUGUGCAUUCAAUUUACUGCAAACUAGAUGCUACUCCCUGAACUUAUAAAUAAAACCAGUCAGCUACUUUUACAGCGAGCGUACAAAUUAGCCCAUGUUGACAGAUGUUUGUCACUUAGUAACUUCUUUCCAAGUUUUUUUCCCCCUCUAAGCCUUCUUUCGGGCUUGCUUUGUUGUUUUAAAAUAUGCAUGUCUCUCAGGAAUGCCAGUCACGAGUCCAAACUUUGUGUCCAACCUCCCACAUGAAAUGAUCCUUUUAUAGGGAACCCGAUAUGUCUCAAUCUGCACUUCACUCAAAGCCUCUGGAUAUGGGGCACUGGUCCCUGCUCAAAAAUAACUGCGCAGAUAUGCGUUUCCACCUAAAACAAUCCCCACAAACGACUCCCAGGGAAGAAAUAUAGCUCCCAUAAUUAAAGAAGGCAGCGGUCAGAGGGGAAUGCAGCCUGAAAGGAAAAAAAAGUAAGAGUUUUACUUCUUUUCUGAUUGCACUUGGGGUGUCAUUAACAGCAGGUUUAUCAGCAUAAGGCACUCGUAGCAAAGUGUUGCGUGUAUACGGGAAAGAAAGAUUGAGCAAACGAAGACCAGAGGAGAAGGCAGAAGAAAGAUUAAGGAACGCAGUCCAACUUCGCGAAAGAAACCCCCUUGAAGUCUUUUUGCCAAGACAAGUAUCAGACAUGCCUAAGAAUGAAACAAUUCUUGGUGGGGGCAGAAAAGGAAGUCAUUUUUUUUCCAGUAAGAAAAAAAAAAAGGUGAGAAAUAUCGUUGUCUUCUGUGUCCAUUAAAAACAGGCAUUUAAAAAUCACUGCUAGUUAAAAUUCCUUUCAGCUAUAGACGUAACUAACCAAGUUUUAAGGGUGCAAAACUUUGGCAGAGACCAUAUUCCUCGAGAUAAGCACGGUCAUUCAUUUGAAGUAACGUGGCAUUCUUUAUCACAGAGCCUUUCCUCUUCAGAUUCAACGCUGUACAACUUUCCAGUCUAUUUAUUUUGCAUGCUGCUGGCUGAGUCGUCUGUACCUGGUAAAUGCUUAUGCUCAGAGUGAACAUUCUUCACAUUUAGGACACUCGAUGUUGCUUCUAGCCUAACCCAGGAUGAGAAAGCUGCUGCUUUAGCAAGGAGGGGGCUGAGGCUUUGUUAAGUGUUGCUUAAAACUUUUUCCCAGGCUCAAACUGAUUUUUAUUUUAUUUUAUUGCAUUGAGAUUAAUGGACUAUCAGUUAAAAGGAAGAGAAAGAAUUCAAGAGGCUCCCAGUUAGUCGCUCUGGUACAAGCAAGGGGAAAAAAAUCCACAUUCAAAUGGAGAGAAAGACCCUCCUGGAUUUUGGAUCUGAUACACAUUUUGGUGGUAAAACAGGUCCCGCCUACUUUCCUCCUCUUUUUCAAAGAUAAGAAACUUUAACUAGAUACGGCUGGGAACCGACAACUUAAAUUACUGCAAAGUGCAAGCGUGUGGUAAAAUGUUGAUAAACCAUCGAAGUCACUGUAAUAACCAUGCAUCAUUCACUUGAGUCUCUCCAUUUGGGGUCUGGAAGCAAACGCGGGCUAAAUGUGUUUGUUUCCUAAUAAACAAGCAGAAAUAGGAAGAACCCAACUCGUGGUCUUUCCCUUCUAACUACGGAAGCAGGAAGGCACUUCCGCUCUCCAAUGAUCUCAGUUGACUCCAGUCUCUGUGUAGUUUUGGUACACUAAUAAUAUCACUUUGUUUGUCUCUGAUGACUAGUCUCUUCAUUCCAAAUGUCCUUUACGGUAAGGAGAGAACCAAACAAAGCAAGAAGUGAAGGAGAUUUUCUUUCCCCACUUUUUGGAAGAGGGAGUUGCUCUUUUGGAUAUUAUUGGUAAAUUACAUUUUUAUAUCAGAACAACCGAACAUCCAUUUUCAAUUCCAAAACAUCUCGGAGAGGAUUUUCUUAUGCUUAAUCAUCUGAAACAUAUAAGUGUAGGCAAUGUGAAGUCAACAAAGACUAAAGGGCUGUCAUGAUAAGUUGAUGUUAGGCUAUUACCAUUUCAACAGAGUCAGACCACCACCAGCCAGAUUGAAACUAUUGAUAUGUUAUUGCGCCAUUCAGUGUCGGUUCAUGUUUUUAUUAACAUCUCCAAGCUGCUUUGAAGAGAAAAAUGUUUAUGAGGAGACAACUGCACAUUAGAAGAGAAAAGCUUUUUAUUAUUAUUUUUAAAGUGUAAACAGAAAUAUACAAUUCAUAAGAACUCCCUGCAGUUCUUUACAUAAGCAAAAACGCAAGUCAAUUAGGGCACGAGAAAGACACUUUUAAAAGGGUAUUUAUUACAGUAGAAUUUUUUUGCACUGAAUUUCCAUUAAAAUAAAAAAAUAGAUUAAUUUUGUGAUAUUUGGCACCUUGGAAACCCCCCUCAUGCAUUCCCAGUGGUAAGAGUUUGACGGUUGCAGGAUUUGUUUGAGAGCUUUUUUUCCACUCCCCCGCCCCCUUGGUCUUUGCAUUUAAGGACAGAACUACACAUAUGAAAUACAAAUCAAAGAGUUCAAACCUUAUUCACAUGAUACACUGAUCAGAGAGGAAACAAACCAGGGACGAGUACAAACGGCGUAAAUGGGUGACAGGCCAGCCCCAGGCAGGUGGCCAGCACCGACAGCAUGAAGUUACUUGGGGAGAAAUGAGGUGAACCAUAUUCUUACGCCUAUACAGCAAACCCAUAAUCAACAGGUUAAAUUGAGAAAUACGAUUACACUGGAAGCUGCCCAGCGGCAAACGUGGAUUUUCCUUUGCCUCUGUUUGGGGAAUCUCCACAGCUUGCAAAACCCCUCGCAUCUUGCUUGCGAAAGUCUAACUCAGGAAACACAGCGACGACCUCCAUGUGUAAGGGACAUUUACAAAAGGGAGAGGAGCUAUAAUGGAGAGAAGACUGCAGAUUAUAGCAGGCAAUUUUACCGUGAUUUCCCCUGGUUAGAAGCGGAGUAAUGUGCGAACUGCAAAACACCACGGGUUAGCUAAAUAACAGCAAUGCCUGGUGUACAUACAUGGAGUAUUUCAGCUGGCUAAUUGUGACCCUCCAACACUGAGCACUGCACACGCUUUAUGAAACCAAAGAAAAGAAGUUAGCAAAUAAAAUGGAAAGAUCCGGAAGAAUCUCUCCUUACACUGAAGUGACAUGAUUCGGUUACUGGUACGUUUACUCCAGACAAAAUACAUUGAAAUCCACAUUAAACACUUUAAAACACCUUAUUAACAACAAUAGCCCCCUACCCUCACCCCUUCCGUACUGAAUUCCUCCUUCAACGCCGAAACGGGAAAAAUUACACUAAAAAGGGGUCAAUAUCACAAACCCAUGUGGUGGCUGCCGACGAUUUGACUGGUUUGAAGUAACACAGCAGUUGGAUGAAAUACCGUUUUGAUUUUUGCUGUCUUUGCCUCUGCUUUAACAACAACAGAGGCGAUGCAGACAUGACCACUGAAGAAAAGAUCACUUUAAUUUAGCUUCAUCAAACCUAUAAGAACUAAUUAGUGUACUUGUAUGCC
Molecule: non-coding RNA, 4119 nt
Organism: Caretta caretta (loggerhead turtle)
Lineage: Eukaryota; Metazoa; Chordata; Testudines; Cheloniidae
Source: RefSeq, a predicted model, not a curated record